This 492-nucleotide ribosomal RNA is filed under the name uncultured bacterium. RNAcentral's name for it is "partial 16S ribosomal RNA". It matches the Rfam family "Bacterial small subunit ribosomal RNA", at positions 30 to 507 of the family's 1533-position model. The record is from RNAcentral.
AUUGAACGCUGGCGGCAUGCUUUACACAUGCGAGUCGAACGGUAACAGGCCUUCGGGUGCUGACGAGUGGCGAACGGGUGAGUAAUGCAUCGGAACGUACCCAGAGGUGGGGGAUAACGCAGCGAAAGCUGUGCUAAUACUGCAUGUGAUCUGAGGAUGAAAGCGGGGGACCGAGCAGCAAUGUUUGGCCUCGCGCCUUUGGAGCGGCCGAUAUCGGAUUAGCUAGUUGGUGGGGUAAAGGCCUACCAAGGCGACGAUCCGUAGCUGGUCUGAGAGGACGACCAGCCACACUGGGACUGAGACACGGCCCAGACUCCUACGGGAGGCAGCAGUGGGGAAUUUUGGACAAUGGGCGCAAGCCUGAUCCAGCAAUGCCGCGUGCGGGAAGAAGGCCUUCGGGUUGUAAACCGCUUUUGGCAGGAACGAAACGGUGUCCGCUAAUACCGGGCGCUAAUGACGGUACCUGCAGAAUAAGCACCGGCUAACUACGUG